ACACUAGAUUCACCGAGCCGGCCUUUAU
RNAcentral lists this small RNA (28 nucleotides) under Bombyx mori (domestic silkworm). Its description in RNAcentral is "ovarian small RNA-11060". The record is from RNAcentral. Lineage: Eukaryota; Metazoa; Arthropoda; Insecta; Lepidoptera; Bombycidae.